Molecule: ribosomal RNA, 119 nt
Organism: Macaca fascicularis (crab-eating macaque)
Lineage: Eukaryota; Metazoa; Chordata; Mammalia; Primates; Cercopithecidae
Source: Ensembl
GCCUAUGGCCAUACCACCCUGAACCCACCUGAUCUCAUCUGAUCUCAGAAGUUAAGCAGGGUUGAGCCUGAUUAGGACUUGGAUGGGAGACUGCCUGAAAAUAUCAGGUGCUGUAGGCU